CCAAUAGCGUAUAUUAAAGUUGUUGCAGUUAAAAAGCUCGUAGUUGAAUUUCGGGGUCAGCAGGUUGGUCGUGCCUCUGGUACGCACUGGUUUCGCUGAUUCCUCCUUUCUGAAGAACUGUAAUGUCAUUAAUUUGGUGUUGCAGGGAAACAGGACUGUUACUUUGAAAAAAUUAGAGUGUUUAAAGCAAGCUAACGCUUGAAUACAUUAGCAUGGAAUAAUGAAAUAGGACGUUUGAUCCUAUUUUGUGGGUUUCUAGGAUUGACGUAAUGAUUAAUAGGGAUAGUUGGGGGCAUUAGUAUUCAAUUGUCAGAGGUGAAAUUCUUGGAUUUAUUGAAGACUAACUACUGCGAAAGCAUUUGCCAAGGAUGUUUUCAUUAAUCAAGAACGAAAGUUAGGGGAUCGAAGACGAUCAGAUACCGUCGUAGUCUUAACCAUAAACUAUGCCGACUAGGGAUCGGAUGAUGUUAAUUUUUUAAUGACUCAUUCGGCGCCUUACG
Molecule: ribosomal RNA, 500 nt
Filed under: uncultured Glomeromycotina
Lineage: Eukaryota; Fungi; Glomeromycota
Description: partial small subunit ribosomal RNA
Rfam family: Eukaryotic small subunit ribosomal RNA
Source: RNAcentral